GAGGGUAUAGCUCAAGUGGUAGAGUUGUGCGCUUGGCAUUCAUGAGGUCCUGGGUUCAAUCCCCAGUACCUCCU
RNAcentral lists this transfer RNA (74 nucleotides) under Camelus bactrianus (Bactrian camel). It matches the Rfam family "tRNA". From Rfam's summary of the family: Transfer RNA (tRNA) molecules are approximately 80 nucleotides in length. Their secondary structure includes four short double-helical elements and three loops (D, anti-codon, and T loops). RNAcentral also lists the same sequence under 2 other names. The record is from Rfam by way of RNAcentral. Lineage: Eukaryota; Metazoa; Chordata; Mammalia; Artiodactyla; Camelidae.